Perca fluviatilis (European perch) is the source of this 427-nucleotide long non-coding RNA. RefSeq lists it as uncharacterized. The record is from RefSeq and is a predicted model, not a curated record. The transcript has 3 exons. NCBI's taxonomy places the organism in Eukaryota, Metazoa, Chordata, Actinopteri, Perciformes, Percidae.
UCCAGAUUUACAUGACGCUGAUAAUGACGCCAUUGUGUCUGCCUGUAAGACAUAUUACGAGACAGCAGCAGGAACUUCAGCUAGAAACAACCAGAUGUGGCAUCGCGGGCAGAAGCUGUGAAGAGUUCAGCUCGGAGUCGGUCGAGAAGAAAAGAGGCUGCUGGAAGCGAGACAAAGUGUGCUGGCUGCGGGUGAGGUGGUCAUUUGGAAGUGUGCCACCAUAGACCUGAUGAUCCAAAAUACAGGACAACGCACCACAGACGUCUAAAUGGACCGAAUUCAGACCGAAUGCUGUCGGUUACCUACAGCUCUGAGCCGGCCGCGGGUUAGGUGUGGACGGUGCUGCUUUGUUGUGUGCCGAUGCUUUGUACUCAGUUUUUUUUCUGUUUGUGUUUUGUGUCAAUAAAGCUCUAUCUUUGAAUAAACA